RNAcentral lists this ribosomal RNA (253 nucleotides) under uncultured bacterium. RNAcentral's name for it is "partial 16S ribosomal RNA". It matches the Rfam family "Bacterial small subunit ribosomal RNA", at positions 524 to 776 of the family's 1533-position model. The record is from RNAcentral.
UACGUAGGGUGCAAGCGUUGUCCGGAAUUAUUGGGCGUAAAGAGCUCGUAGGCGGUUUGUCGCGUCGAAUGUGAAAUCCCGGGGCUCAACCCCGGGCCUGCAUUCGAUACGGGCAGACUAGAGUUCGGUAGGGGAGACUGGAAUUCCUGGUGUAGCGGUGAAAUGCGCAGAUAUCAGGAGGAACACCGGUGGCGAAGGCGGGUCUCUGGGCCGAUACUGACGCUGAGGAGCGAAAGCGUGGGGAGCGAACAGG